ACGCGUCUGCCUACGGAGCAGAAGAUUGCAGGUUCGAAUCCUGCCGUGGUCGAAAUUUUUUUCU
Molecule: non-coding RNA, 64 nt
Organism: Caenorhabditis elegans
Lineage: Eukaryota; Metazoa; Nematoda; Chromadorea; Rhabditida; Rhabditidae
Source: Ensembl